RNAcentral lists this ribosomal RNA (484 nucleotides) under uncultured bacterium. RNAcentral's name for it is "partial 16S ribosomal RNA". It matches the Rfam family "Bacterial small subunit ribosomal RNA", at positions 30 to 507 of the family's 1533-position model. The record is from RNAcentral.
AUUGAACGCUGGCGGCAGGCCUAACACAUGCAAGUCGAGCGGAUGAAGGGUGCUUGCUCCUGGAUUCAGCUUCGGACGGGUGUGUAAUGCCUAUGAAUCUGCCUGGUAGUGGGGGAUAACGUCCGUUAACGGGCGCUAAUACCGCAUACGUCCUUAGGGUGAAAGUGUGGGUUCUUCGGACCUCUCGCUAUCAGAUGUGCCUAGGUCGGAUUAGCUAGUUGGUUUGGUAAAGGCAUACCAAGGCGACGAUCCGUAACUGGUGUGAGAGGAUGAUCAGUCAAACUGGAACUGAGACACGGACAAGAAGCCUACGGGAGGAAGCAGAGGGGAAUAUUGGACAAUGGGCGAAAGCAGGAUACAGCAAAGCCGCGUGAGUGAAGAAGGUCUUAGGAUUGUAAAGAACUUUAAGUUGGGAGGAAGGGAAGUAAGUUAAAACCUUGAUGUAUUGACGUUACCAAAAGAAUAAGCACCGGCUAACUACGUG